Molecule: long non-coding RNA, 419 nt
Organism: Vidua chalybeata
Lineage: Eukaryota; Metazoa; Chordata; Aves; Passeriformes; Viduidae
Exons: 3
Source: RefSeq, a predicted model, not a curated record
CACAGCUGCUCUCAAGACAACUCUUUCCAAGGUUACAUGAAACCACAGUUGAUUUUGUUUAUUUUCAGUUCGGACUCUCCAAACGCAGCUGGGCUGAACUUGGCUUUCACUUUCUACUGAACAAGAAUCACUGAAGUUUUGUCUGUACUAUAUCCACAUCUGCCCCUGGCUCUGCAUGACUGGAAAUUUGGAAAUGCUGGGCUGACACCUCACAUUUCUGAAAGUUGAAGGAUCAUCUCUGCAUGCUGAAAAGGCCCUAUCUUAUUGCCUGUCCCAGGCUGGUAAAACAGCAGGCAUAUAUUAGUGAAUCUAUCUGUGGGAGCAAGGUGGAGCAAAAUGGGAAGUCUCUGCUUAUUCUUGUACAAUGAUUUGUUUCAGUUGCCAAGCUCUGUUAAAUAAACUUCCAGUGUACCAAGCAG